This 88-nucleotide transfer RNA is filed under the name Candidatus Pelagibacter sp. IMCC9063. Its description in RNAcentral is "tRNA-Ser (TGA) (tRNA-Ser-TGA-1-1)". It matches the Rfam family "tRNA". Rfam says of the family: Transfer RNA (tRNA) molecules are approximately 80 nucleotides in length. Their secondary structure includes four short double-helical elements and three loops (D, anti-codon, and T loops). The record is from RNAcentral. RNAcentral also lists the same sequence under 3 other names. Lineage: Bacteria; Pseudomonadati; Pseudomonadota; Alphaproteobacteria; Candidatus Pelagibacterales; Candidatus Pelagibacteraceae.
GGAGGGAUGGGAGAGUGGUUUAAUCCAGCGGUCUUGAAAACCGCCGUACCGCAAGGUACCGUGAGUUCGAAUCUCACUCCCUCUGCCA